Molecule: non-coding RNA, 78 nt
Organism: Pteropus alecto (black flying fox)
Lineage: Eukaryota; Metazoa; Chordata; Mammalia; Chiroptera; Pteropodidae
Source: Rfam
UGGAUUAAUGAUGAUAAGUGCUGGCGUAUGAGUCACGGAUGAUGAAUAGUAAUAUGUGCCUGGAACUGUGAAAGGAAA